RNAcentral lists this ribosomal RNA (433 nucleotides) under uncultured bacterium. RNAcentral describes it as "partial 16S ribosomal RNA". It matches the Rfam family "Bacterial small subunit ribosomal RNA", at positions 29 to 507 of the family's 1533-position model. The record is from RNAcentral.
AACGAACGCUGGCGGCAUGCCUAACACAUGCAAGUCGAACGAGACCUUCGGGUCUAGUUGCGCACGUGUGCGUAACGCGUGGGAACCUGCCCUUAGGUUCGGAAUAACUCCCCGAAAGGGGUGCUAAUACCGGUUAAUGUCUUCGGACCAAAGAUGUAUCGCCUUUGGAUGGGCCCGCGUUGGAUUAGCUAGUUGGUAGGGUACAAGCAUACCAAGGCGACGAUCCAUAGCUGGUCUGAGAGGAGGAUCAGCUCCACUGGAAAUGAGACACGGACCAGACUGCUACGGGAGGGAGCAGAGGGGAAUAUUGGAGAAUGGGCGAAAGACUGAUAAAGCAAUGCGGGGGGAGAGAUGAAGGGGGUAGGGUUGUAAAGCUCUUUUAGACGGGAUGAUAAUGACAGUACCGGGAGAAGAAGCACCGGCUAACUACGUG